This 897-nucleotide ribosomal RNA is filed under the name Triticum aestivum (bread wheat). RNAcentral describes it as "partial small subunit ribosomal RNA". The record is from RNAcentral. Lineage: Eukaryota; Viridiplantae; Streptophyta; Magnoliopsida; Poales; Poaceae.
AUGGCAUAUCUCCUUCGCAAUCUGUCCAAGGAGGUGCUUGUUCAAGUGGCUUCGCUUGAAUCAUCACAUCCGAUCUGGACUGCAUUAGCAAAUAUGUUCUCUGCAGUCUCCUUGUCUCACGUGAACAACAUCAGAUCUGCCCUCACCAACCAGAAAGGAUCUCAAUCCACCUCCACCUACUUCGGGCAGAUGCGCGCCCUCUCUGACGAGCUUGCGGCGGUGGGCAAACCACUCGGGGAGGAAGAGCUCAUCUCCUUCAUCGUAGCCGGGCUUGAUAUGGAAUAUCAACCGAUCAUCUCUGCACUCGACGUCCGCACCGAGCCCAUCACCAUCGACGCGCUCUUCUCGAUGGUAGCAAACUUCGAUUAGCGCAUUGAGAUGUUCAAUGGCACUGGUGGCUUCAAGUCAUCGGCAAACGCGGCCUCCAGAGGUCGCUUGGGCGGUGGCAAAGGCGGCUACCGAAACCAGAAGAACGGCGGUCACGGCGGCGGCUACCCUGGCGGUGGCGGUCAAAACCCUAGCAGCAGCUACCCUGGUGCGGGUGGCGGCGCCUACAACCAUGGUGGCAGCGUCUACAACAACCACGGCAACAACGGUGGUCAAGGUGGUGGCCAUCGUGGCGGCGGCGGGGGCUACUACAGCAACAACGGCCCCCUCGCCACUACUACAACAACAAUUAAGGCGUUCGCUUCACGGGGUACGAGGAGUAUGAAAACAAAUGCCAAAUCUGUAAGAAAACUAACCAUAUUGCGAAAGAGUGCAAGUGGCGUUAUGCAGAGGACAAUUGUCGAAAGAGGCGUGUUGCAGCUGCGGCAGAUGCCUCAUACAGAGUUGACUCCAACUGGUAUCUUGACUCUGGCUCGAAUGAGAACAUCACCUCUGAACUUGAGAAGAUGA